AAGACAAGGUAUUUAUUGUGUUGGACCACUGCGCCAGCGGCGACCUUGCAGCUGAUAUCCAGUGUCACAGGAUCCACGGGAGGGUUUCCGUGGGUGUCGCCAGGCACUUCAUGAGGCAGCUUGAUGGCUGAAGGAUUGAAAAUCCUCGGCGAAAUCAAUCUGAUUCACAGAGGUUUGACCGAUGAAUGCAGUCAUCCAAUUACCUACAAGAAGCCGAGUCUUUUUUCCAUUUCUUUUGUUAUCCAAGUUUGGAAGAACUUUUCAUUCUUUUUACUGCCUACAUGAGCCUAUAUAAUCAGUAUAUAUGGUUGCACUUCAGCUGCUAUUCUUUUUAUAAAGAUUUGCCUCAUCCUUGGCUUUUGUACAUUUUAUUUUUUUGAUCUGAUUGUGAUGUUAGUUACUGUCUCAAUCUGUGUGGCACAAAUGUCUCCAAGCUGGUCCACUUUGUCUGUUCUUUUAUGACCCAUUUGGUAUGGAGAUCUCACACAGAUUUCCUAUAAAAUCCUGAGAUUUUAAAUACACCCUUAAGAUCUCACCAAAGACUUUCCACACUCAAUCUACCAUAAUAACAGGAGCAGUGCCCAAUCCCACCUUCCAAAUUCUCCUCCAAUUCCAGUUUGAUAUAGGAAUUCGUUGGAAUUAAUGUCAAACAUGUCAAAAAUCAAUCUAAAUCUCACCCUUCAAUGAAAUCCUGGUGUUUUAACAUAUUAACUUUAAGAUCUCACCCAAGAUUUCUACCUCAAUUUCUGAUUAUAAUGUACCAUUAUCCAAUCCCACCUUCCAACCCCUAGCACUCCAAUUGUAGUACCCCAUAUGGUAUAACUGUAUCCUGUUGCAGACUCAUUUGAAUUCAUUGAACAAGACUACGUUCCUGUUCAUGCUAAUUUCAUGUCUAUGGAGACUUGGUUGUCUUCUUUGAAGCCUUGUAUGAUAAUUCUACAACUAGGAUUCCAAAUUGCAAAGUGAGGAUGAUCAAAAAGGGUUGAGUCCAGUUAAAUCAAGGGACCUAGUUGUGAGUCCAGUCAAAAAGGGACCAGUUAAAUCAAUGGUGCAGAGAGUAUGGGCAGCCAUAUUCCAGCACUUUUGUCAAUAUCACAAGCUUAUCCAUCAGAUGAUUUGCAGGGGACAUCAUUAUUGCACCCUUCCUGUAGGAUUCAGCUUCUCACCCAAUAUAUUAGUGCUCUAACAGAAUUAGCUCAAGAAAAGGUAAGAAAGUUUUGAUUGGAACUUCAUCAGGCACUGCUUUUAAAAGUGCCUGGUAUCAUUAUUGAUGGAUCUUCAUAUGCUUGUGGUACUAUUUUAUUUUACGAAGUACUUCCAACAGGAGGUAUUAUGUGAGAUUAGGGGCAUAAACACAUGAUGUCAGACUAGGCACAUAUUUGUGAUUCCUUAUGGCAUAUCAGUCUUGAUGUGAAUAGUGACCAAGAUGCUGCAAAAGAACAAAAUUCUUUCAUUGUUUGUAGCUUUGUGCACUUUAGGUUUACCCAACUGAAAUUUAGUCAAUAUAAAAAGGUUGAGUUCGGUUGCCACUGGUCGACAAUAUGAGAAACUCAAACAAAAUAAUCUUGUGAUUCUUGCAUCCUCAAGGGGGCAGAACCUGAUACUCAUGGCUGAGAAAGGAUACUAUGUCCAAGAUUGAACACCCCAACAGUGCACCUCGUGUACAAUUUUCAUAGUGGUCAACAAGUGUCAAUUGCACAUUUGAAAAGGCUUCAUGUGGUUUGAUGUACAUGUCACCAUUCUUAUCUUGUAGUAGCUGUGUACAAAUUUAUUACUUACAAGAAUGAUGAAUUAUAAGAGCUGCAGAAGUGACAGAAUAUUUAGGUUUGAAGCUGAUAAACAGGAUGAGUAACAAACAAGACAAAAAAUGAGACGCAAUGCUUCAAGAGACAUCAUGAAUUAUAAACCUUAAGAAAGAAGCUUGCAUGUGGCAAUGUUUGAGUUUGCUAUUUUCCUGCAGCUAGAAGUAAAAAACUCAAACACAUGAAAAAUGUUUGUAUCUGCAAGCAUGACAUGUAUCAAAUAGUGGGGCAAGUCAAUUUGUGUUUUAUAGUUAUUAGCGUGAAGGUAUGAGUUUUUAAUCCUUGUGUUGCAGUAAGACUUCAGUAACAUUUAUAUCAUAAUCGAACAUGAAAAUUCAUCUUUCUUUUAAGUGACCCUUUUUCUAGGGUAUCAUGUGCAUGUGGCAGAAACUCUUCCCAUCCAAGCCUUCAUCGCUAACAAGUGAAUAGAGAUGGAUAACUGGAGUCUGAUUAACCAAUGGAUGCCCCCAGUGGUAUUUCGGUACAAGUUACUUUAAUGUCACAUAGCAUUCAAAGCGUAGAAGCUCACAUCACAAUACUUGACCUCAUGAUUUUGAUUCCAAAUUUGCAGGGGAAGAUCACUGUAUAUAUCAUGUCCAAGGCUCAAGCAUUCCAUUGGGAACUAUAAUCUCAUAUUACUGUAAAUAUGAGACAUUUUGUGAAAUAUUUUUUGUAGUUGCAGGUUUUGAAGUGUAUCCUUCUCCACUGUGAUGCAAAAUGAUCGACGAUGGCUGGAACUCCAUGAUCAACGCCUGCCGGAAGCCCUCUCUCAUGAGAUGAACAGACAUUUUGCAUGAGAUGUAAAGCAAUAUAUUUGUAUUUUGGUUAUUGACGUUUGUGGUGUGGCAUCUGUUGGCCAUUGUAUACAGUGACAGAUUUGCACUAUGAUCGAUUUUUCAGGCAUUUAUGCCUCUUUUUUUAAUAAGUAUCGAAAUCUC
This is a non-coding RNA of Musa acuminata subsp. malaccensis (wild Malaysian banana), 2740 nucleotides long. NCBI's taxonomy places the organism in Eukaryota, Viridiplantae, Streptophyta, Magnoliopsida, Zingiberales, Musaceae. The record is from RefSeq and is a predicted model, not a curated record.